GACGAACGCUGGCGGCGUGCCUAAUACAUGCAAGUCGAACGCUGAAGGAGGAGCUUGCUUCUCUGGAUGAGUUGCGAACGGGUGAGUAACGCGUAGGUAACCUGCCUGGUAGCGGGGUAUAACUAUUGGAAACGAUAUCUAAUACCGCAUAAGAGUAGAUGUCGCAUGACAUUUGCUUAAAAUGUGCAAUUGCCUCACUACCAGAUGGACCUGCGUUGUAUUAGCUAGUUGGUGAGGUAACGGCUCACCAAGGCAACGAUACAUAGCCGACCUGAGAGGGUGAUCGGCCACACUGGGACUGAGACACGGCCCAGACUCCUACGGGAGGCAGCAGUAGGGAAUCUUCGGCAAUGGACGGAAGUCUGACCGAGCAACGCCGCGUGAGUGAAGAAGGUUUUCGGAUCGUAAAGCUCUGUUGUAAGAGAAGAACGAGUGUGAGAGUGGAAAGUUCACACUGUGACGGUAUCUUACCAGAAAGGGACGGCUAACUACGUG
RNAcentral lists this ribosomal RNA (495 nucleotides) under uncultured bacterium. Its description in RNAcentral is "partial 16S ribosomal RNA". It matches the Rfam family "Bacterial small subunit ribosomal RNA", at positions 28 to 507 of the family's 1533-position model. The record is from RNAcentral.